UACGGGGGGGGCAAGCGUUGUUCGGAAUUACUGGGCGUAAAGGGCUCGUAGGCGGCCAACUAAGUCAGACGUGAAAUCCCUCGGCUUAACCGGGGAACUGCGUCUGAUACUGGAUGGCUUGAGUGUGGGAGAGGGAUGCGGAAUUCCAGGUGUAGCGGUGAAAUGCGUAGAUAUCUGGAGGAACACCAAUGGCGAAGGCAGCUCGCUGGGACGUGACUGACGCUGAGACGCGAAAGCGUGGGGAGCGAACAGG
Molecule: ribosomal RNA, 253 nt
Filed under: uncultured bacterium
Lineage: Bacteria
Description: partial 16S ribosomal RNA
Rfam family: Bacterial small subunit ribosomal RNA
Source: RNAcentral